AUUGAACGCUGGCGGCAGGCCUAACACAUGCAAGUCGAACGAGUGGCGGACGGGUGAGUAAUGUCUGGGAAACUGCCUGAUGGAGGGGGAUAACUACUGGAAACGGUAGCUAAUACCGCAUCCAAGCAGAUGUGCCCAGAGGGGCGUGGCGUGUGGGUGGGGUAACGGCUCACAACGGCGACGAUCCCUAGCUGGUCUGAGAGGAUGACCAGCCACACUGGAACUGAGACACGGUCCAGACUCCUACGGUAGGCAGCAGUGGGGAAUAUUGCACAAGGGGCGCAAGCCUGAUGCAGCCAUGCCGCGUGUAUGAAGAAGGCCUUCGGGUUGUAAAGUACUUUCAGCGGGGAGGCGUUACCCGCAGAAGAAGCACCGGCUAACUCCGUGCCAGCAGCCGCGGUAAUUC
Molecule: ribosomal RNA, 406 nt
Filed under: uncultured bacterium
Lineage: Bacteria
Description: partial 16S ribosomal RNA
Rfam family: Bacterial small subunit ribosomal RNA
Source: RNAcentral